Long non-coding RNA from Brassica oleracea var. oleracea, 926 nucleotides. RefSeq lists it as uncharacterized. The transcript has 3 exons. The record is from RefSeq and is a predicted model, not a curated record. NCBI's taxonomy places the organism in Eukaryota, Viridiplantae, Streptophyta, Magnoliopsida, Brassicales, Brassicaceae.
AAAGUUCAUUGUAGCCGUCGUAGUCUGGACCUCGAGUCAAAAAGCUUAUGUAAUCUUAUGUACGUUUCUCCGAUCCCAGAUUCUGAAAAUCUUAUGAAUAAUAAUAACUGAACUGGAAUUUACUAUGAUGGUUGAAUCAUACGAAUGGGUGGAGAGAGUAAUGAAGGUGAGAUGGGUCAAACUAUGAAGAUGAUGAAAGUGGGAUCGCAAGAGUUGAAACUACAUCAGUGCUUUCGUAUGCAAAGAUUUUGGUAUUGUCUCUAUCAAGGGAACUUGCUUCACAAACAAAGAAGACAAUACAGUCUAUUGGAGCGUGGUGUACAUGCUAUGUCUGGAACACCUGGUCGAGUCUAUGAAAUGAUAAAGAGGGGAAGUUUACAAACCAAGUAUGUUAAAAUUUUGAUUAUUGAUAGAGUAAUGGAGGUGAGAUGCUGAGCAAAGGUUUCAAAGACCACAUUUACGAGACUUACAGAUACAAUGUUCAUGUUUGCUUUAUUCUGCUAUUUUUCCUCAAGAGAUCAUGGAGAUGAUAAACAAGUUUAUGAUGGAUCCUGAGAAAUACUUGUGAAGCGUGAUGGGUUGACUCUUGAAGGUAUCAAACAAUAUUAUGUUGAUGUUGGGAAGAAGAGUGGAGGUUUGAUACACUUUGUGAUCUUUAUAGGACGCUUAUUAUUUAUCAAUCAAGAUACUAUCUUCUGCAACACAAGACAAAAGGUACACGUGUUCUUAAGCUAUCUGGUCUCUCUAUAUCUUAUAUGUCAGAUAGUUGAGUUGCAUUUUUAAAAUGUAUAUAAGGUGGAUUAGCUUACUGAGAAUAUGGGGAGUAGUAACUUUAUAGUAGCAUCAAUGAAUGGAGACAAACGUCAAAAGCGGAGAGAUGAAAUCAUGAACCAGAUCCGGUCUUUUUUUUUUUUUUUUGACACAAA